AACUGAUACUACCUGCGGGAACCUGCGGAAGGAUCAUUACAGAGUUGCAAAACUCCCACACCCUCGCGAAUGUACCCGUCCCGUUGCUUCGGCGGGCCGCCCCGGGGCCGCCCCGCGGUCCCUAAGCGCCCCGCCGAAGGCCCUAAACCCUGUGUCCUGUGGUGGCCUCUCUGAGUUACCAUAUCGAAUCAGUCAAAACUUUUAACAACGGAUCUCU
Molecule: unclassified non-coding RNA, 217 nt
Filed under: soil metagenome
Description: partial contains 5.8S ribosomal RNA, internal transcribed spacer 2, and large subunit ribosomal RNA
Source: RNAcentral